CGAUGAAGGAGGAGCUUGCUCCUCCGGAUUAGUGGCGAACGGGUGAGUAAUACGUGAGCAAUGUGCCCUUGACUCUGGGAUAAGCGCUGGAAACGGCGUCUAAUACCGGAUACGACCCUCGGAGGCAUCUCCUGAUGGUGGAAAGAACUUCGGUCAAGGAUCAGCUCACGGCCUAUCAGCUAGUUGGUGAGGUAACGGCUCACCAAGGCGACGACGGGUAGCCGGCCUGAGAGGGUGACCGGCCACACUGGGACUGAGACACGGCCCAGACUCCUACGGGAGGCAGCAGUGGGGAAUAUUGCACAAUGGGCGCAAGCCUGAUGCAGCAACGCCGCGUGAGGGACGAAGGCCUUCGGGUUGUAAACCUCUUUUAGCAGGG
RNAcentral lists this ribosomal RNA (379 nucleotides) under Agrococcus sp. To1. Its description in RNAcentral is "bacterial SSU rRNA". It matches the Rfam family "Bacterial small subunit ribosomal RNA", at positions 67 to 444 of the family's 1533-position model. Lineage: Bacteria; Bacillati; Actinomycetota; Actinomycetes; Micrococcales; Microbacteriaceae. The record is from RNAcentral.